CAUGGUUCGAAAUUGAAAGGCGGCUUCGGCUGUCACUUAUGGAUGGACCCGCGUCGCAUUAGCUAGUUGGUGAGGUAACGGCUCACCAAGGCAACGAUGCGUAGCCGACCUGAGAGGGUGAUCGGCCACACUGGGACUGAGACACGGCCCAGACUCCUACGGGAGGCAGCAGUAGGGAAUCUUCCGCAAUGGACGAAAGUCUGACGGAGCAACGCCGCGUGAGUGAUGAAGGCUUUCGGGUCGUAAAACUCUGUUGUUAGGGAAGAACAAGUGCUAGUUGAAUAAGCUGGCACCUUGACGGUACCUAACCAGAAAGCCACGGCUAACUACGUGCCAGCAGCCGCGGUAAUACGUAGGUGGCAAGCGUUAUCCGGAAUUAUUGGGCGUAAAGCGCGCGCAGGUGGUUUCUUAAGUCUGAUGUGAAAGCCCACGGCUCAACCGUGGAGGGUCAUUGGAAACUGGGAGACUUGAGUGCAGAAGAGGAAAGUGGAAUUCCAUGUGUAGCGGUGAAAUGCGUAGAGAUAUGGAGGAACACCAGUGGCGAAGGCGACUUUCUGGUCUGUAACUGAC
This 570-nucleotide ribosomal RNA is filed under the name Bacillus wiedmannii. RNAcentral's name for it is "bacterial SSU rRNA". It matches the Rfam family "Bacterial small subunit ribosomal RNA", at positions 188 to 744 of the family's 1533-position model. Lineage: Bacteria; Bacillati; Bacillota; Bacilli; Caryophanales; Bacillaceae. The record is from RNAcentral.